RNAcentral lists this ribosomal RNA (178 nucleotides) under Escherichia coli. Its description in RNAcentral is "partial 16S ribosomal RNA". It matches the Rfam family "Bacterial small subunit ribosomal RNA", at positions 1 to 172 of the family's 1533-position model. Lineage: Bacteria; Pseudomonadati; Pseudomonadota; Gammaproteobacteria; Enterobacterales; Enterobacteriaceae. The record is from RNAcentral.
AAAUUGAAGAGUUUGAUCAUGGCUCAGAUUGAACGCUGGCGGCAGGCCUAACACAUGCAAGUCGAACGGUAACAGGAAGCAGCUUGCUGCUUCGCUGAUGAGUGGCGGACGGGUGAGUAAUGUCUGGGAAACUGCCUGAUGGAGGGGGAUAACUACUGGAAACGGUAGCUAAUACCGC